UGGCGACCGGCGCACGGGUGAGUAACGCGUGUCAACCUGCCUUUACUAUGGGACAGCCCGUCGAAAGGCGGAUUAAUACCGUAUGUUGUCAUGUUGAUGCAUAUUUUCAUGACCAAAGGCUUCGGCCGGUAAAGGAUGGGGAUGCGUCUGAUUAGCUUGCCGGCGGGGUAACGGCCCACCGGGGCGACGAUCAGUAGGGGUUCUGAGAGGAAGGUCCCCCACAUUGGAACUGAGACACGGUCCAAACUCCUACGGGAGGCAGCAG
Molecule: ribosomal RNA, 265 nt
Filed under: uncultured bacterium
Lineage: Bacteria
Description: partial 16S ribosomal RNA
Rfam family: Bacterial small subunit ribosomal RNA
Source: RNAcentral